Molecule: ribosomal RNA, 1660 nt
Filed under: human gut metagenome
Description: bacterial LSU rRNA
Rfam family: Bacterial large subunit ribosomal RNA
Source: RNAcentral
UGAUAGUACGAACUUUAGCCGAAAGGACCUGGAAAGGCCUGCUAUAGUGGGUGAUAGCCCCGUAGGCGAAAGAGUUGGUACGGUACUAAGGAAGCGAGAAGUAGAGCGGGACACGUGGAAUCCUGUUCGAAGACGGGGGGACCAUCCUCCAAGGCUAAAUACUCGUGAUCGACCGAUAGUGAACCAGUACCGUGAGGGAAAGGGGAAAAGAACCCCGGGAGGGGAGUGAAAUAGAUCCUGAAACCGCAUACAUACAAACAGUAGGAGCCCGCAAGGGUGACUGCGUACCUUUUGCAUAAUGGGUCAGCGACUUACGUUCAAUGGCAAGCUUAACCGAGUAGGGGAGGCGCAGCGAAAGCGAGUCCGAACAGGGCGACAUGAGUCGUUGGGCGUAGACCCGAAACCAGAUGAUCUAUCCAUGGCCAGGCUGAAGGUGUGGUAACACACACUGGAGGGCCGAACCGACUAGUGUUGCAAAAUUAGCGGAUGAGCUGUGGAUAGGGGUGAAAGGCUAAACAAAUCUGGAGAUAGCUGGUUCUCCCCGAAAACUAUUGAGGUAGUGCCUCGUGUAUGGCUCCAGGGGGUAGAGCACUGUUAUGGCUAGGGGGACAUGGCGUCUUACCAAACCAUGGCAAACUCCGAAUACUUGGAAGUCUGAGCACGGGAGACAGAGCACCGGGUGCUAACGUCCGGACUCAAAAGGGAAACAACCCAGACCGCCGGCUAAGGUCCCUAAUAUUGACUAAGUGGAAAACGAAGUGGGAAGGCUAAGACAGUCAGGAAGUUGGCUUAGAAGCAGCCAUCCUUCAAAGAAAGCGUAAUAGCUCACUGGUCGAGUCCUUCUGCGCGGAAGAUGUAACGGGGCUAAGCUGUUAACCGAAGCCGCGGAUGCACUGGUUAUCCAGUGCGUGGUAGGGGAGCGUUCUGUAAGUCUGCGAAGGCGGUUCGAGAGGACUGCUGGAGAUAUCAGAAGUGCGAAUGCUGACAUGAGUAACGUUAAAGCGGGUGAAAAGCCCGCUCGCCGCAAGCCCAAGGUUUCCUGCUCUACGUUCAUCGGAGCAGGGUGAGUCGGCCCCUAAGGUCAGGCUGAGAAGCGUAGCUGAUGGGAAGCUGGUUAAUAUUCCAGCACCGAUUUCAAGUGCGAAGGGGGGACGGAGUCCUGAAGGUCAUCCGGGUGUUGGACAUCCCGGUUUACGAGCGUAGGAGGUUGACAGGCAAAUCCGUCAACGGAUCUCCAAGGCGAAGGAUCGAGGUUGAGAGAUCAACUGAAGUGACUGAAUGGGCUUCCAGGAAAAGCCUCUAAGCAUCAGCUUGGAAUUGACCGUACCGCAAACCGACACUGGUGGGCGAGCUGAAUAUGCUCAGGCGCUUGAGAGAACUCAGGAGAAGGAACUCGGCAAAUUGACACCGUAACUUCGGGAUAAGGUGUGCCUUUGUAGUGUGAAGGGAGAAACACCCCGAGCAUGAAGAGGCCUCAGAGAAUCGGUGGCUGCAACUGUUUACUAAAAACACAGCACUCUGCAAAGAUGAAAGUCGACGUAUAGGGUGUGAUGCCUGCCCGGUGCUGGAAGAUUAAUUGAUGGGGUGCAAGCUCCUGAUCGAAGUCCCAGUAAACGGCGGCCGUAACUAUAACGGUCCUAAGGUAGCGAAAUUCCUUGUC